This 376-nucleotide ribosomal RNA is filed under the name uncultured eukaryote. RNAcentral's name for it is "partial 18S ribosomal RNA". It matches the Rfam family "Eukaryotic small subunit ribosomal RNA", at positions 592 to 975 of the family's 1831-position model. The record is from RNAcentral.
CAAUAGCGUAUAUUAAAGUUGUUGCGGUUAAAAAGCUCGUAGUUGGAUUUCGGCCAAGAACUACCGGCCCGCCUUCUGGUGGAGCCAGGUGUGUUCGAGGCAACUCUUGGUGUGGACAGUUGUGCUUAACUGCGCGCUGUCAACUCCAGGGCUUUUACUUUGAGGAAAUUAGAGUGUUUCAAGCAGGCAUCUGCCUUGAAUACAUUAGCAUGGAAUAAUAGGAUAGGACUUUGGUCCUAUUUUGUUGGUUUCUGGGACUGAAGUAAUGAUUAAUAGGGACAGUCGGGGGCAUUCGUACUUAACUGUCAGAGGUGGAAUUCUUGGAUUUGUUAAAGACGAACUACUGCGAAAGCAUUUGCCAAGGAUGUUUUCAUUG